Molecule: ribosomal RNA, 200 nt
Filed under: uncultured bacterium
Lineage: Bacteria
Description: partial 16S ribosomal RNA
Rfam family: Bacterial small subunit ribosomal RNA
Source: RNAcentral
AUUGAACGCUGGCGGCAGGCCUAACACAUGCAAGUCGAGCGGUAGAGAGGUGCUUGCACCUCUUGAGAGCGGCGGACGGGUGAGUAAUGCCUAGGAAUCUGCCUGGUAGUGGGGGAUAACGCUCGGAAACGGACGCUAAUACCGCAUACGUCCUACGGGAGAAAGCAGGGGACCUCGGGCCGUUGUCGCUAUCAGAUGAG